AGAACGAACGCUGGCGGCAGGCUUAACACAUGCAAGUCGAGCGGGCCCUUCGGGGUCAGCGGCAGACGGGUGAGUAACGCGUGGGAACGUACCAUUUGCUACGGAAUAACUCAGGGAAACUUGCUGCUAAUACCGUAUGAGCCCCCCUUUAAAAUUUCAGGAAUCAUAAAAUGCCCUGGCAUUUUAUGGGGGGGAAAGAUUUAUCGGCAAAUGAUCGGCCCGCGUUGGAUUAGCUAGUUGGUGGGGUAAAGGCCUACCAAGGCGACGAUCCAUAGCUGGUCUGAGAGGAUGAUCAGCCACACUGGGACUGAGACACGGCCCAGACUCCUACGGGAGGCAGCAGUGGGGAAUAUUGGACAAUGGGCGCAAGCCUGAUCCAGCCAUGCCGCGUGAGUGAUGAAGGCCCUAGGGUUGUAAAGCUCUUUCACCGGUGAAGAUAAUGACGGUAACCGGAGAAGAAGCCCCGGCUAACUUCGUGCCAGCAGCCGCGGUAAUACGAAGGGGGCUAGCGUUGUUCGGAUUUACUGGGCGUAAAGCGCACGUAGGCGGGCUAAUAAGUCAGGGGUGAAAUCCCGGGGCUCAACCCCGGAACUGCCUUUGAUACUGUUAGUCUUGAGUAUGGUAGAGGUGAGUGGAAUUCCGAGUGUAGAGGUGAAAUUCGUAGAUAUUCGGAGGAACCACCCCAGUGGCGAAGGCGGCUCACUGGACCAUUACUGACGCUGAGGUGCGAAAGCGUGGGGAGCAAACARGAUUAGAUACCCUGGUASUCCACGCCGUAAACGAUGAAUGUUACCCGUUGGGGAGUUUACUCUUCNGUGGCGCAGCUAACGCAUUAAACAUUCCGCCUGGAGAGUACNGUCGCAAGAUUAAAACUCAAAGGAAUUGACGGGGGCCCNCACAAGCGGUGGAGCAUGUGNUUUANU
RNAcentral lists this ribosomal RNA (923 nucleotides) under bacterium EAB-2EF12.08. Its description in RNAcentral is "bacterial SSU rRNA". It matches the Rfam family "Bacterial small subunit ribosomal RNA", at positions 26 to 950 of the family's 1533-position model. The record is from RNAcentral.